CGUAUUCACUUCCUCAA
Molecule: microRNA, 17 nt
Filed under: Heligmosomoides polygyrus
Lineage: Eukaryota; Metazoa; Nematoda; Chromadorea; Rhabditida; Heligmosomidae
Description: hpo-miR-10082-3p
Source: miRBase by way of RNAcentral